This 492-nucleotide ribosomal RNA is filed under the name uncultured bacterium. RNAcentral's name for it is "partial 16S ribosomal RNA". It matches the Rfam family "Bacterial small subunit ribosomal RNA", at positions 29 to 507 of the family's 1533-position model. The record is from RNAcentral.
AGUGAACGCUGGCGGUAGGCCUAACACAUGCAAGUCGAACGGCAGCACAGUAAGAGCUUGCUCUUACGGGUGGCGAGUGGCGGACGGGUGAGGAAUACAUCGGAAUCUACUUUUUCGUGGGGGAUAACUUAGGGAAACUUACGCUAAUACCGCAUACGACCUACGGGUGAAAGCAGGGGAUCUUCGUACCUUGCGCGAUUGAAUGAGCCGAUGUCGGAUUAGCUAGUUGGCGGGGUAAAGGCCCACCAAGGCGACGAUCCGUAGCUGGUCUGAGAGGAUGAUCAGACACACUGGAACUGAGACACGGUCCAGACUCCUACGGGAGGCAGCAGUGGGGAAUAUUGGACAAUGGGCGCAAGCCUGAUCCAGACAUACCGCGUGGGUGAAGAAGGCCUUCGGGUUGUAAAGCCCUUUUGUUGGGAAAGAAAAGCAGCAGGUUAAUACCCCGCUGUUCUGACGGUACCCAAAGAAUAAGCACCGGCUAACUUCGUG